AGCCACGCGUUGAGCACAUAGCGAACUAUUCUUUCGCUUUUUACUCAAGAAUACCAUACGCUCGUCGCUAUUCAAGCGGCAUACCUUCUUUUUUUAGGGUUGUCUAUCCGACACCC
Molecule: small nuclear RNA, 116 nt
Organism: Salvia miltiorrhiza (redroot sage)
Lineage: Eukaryota; Viridiplantae; Streptophyta; Magnoliopsida; Lamiales; Lamiaceae
Product: U5 spliceosomal RNA
Exons: 1
Source: RefSeq, a predicted model, not a curated record